RNAcentral lists this ribosomal RNA (397 nucleotides) under Ebria sp. Its description in RNAcentral is "partial small subunit ribosomal RNA". It matches the Rfam family "Eukaryotic small subunit ribosomal RNA", at positions 582 to 975 of the family's 1831-position model. The record is from RNAcentral. Lineage: Eukaryota; Cercozoa; Thecofilosea; Ebriacea.
AUUCCAGCUCCAAUAGCGUAUAUUAAAGUUGUUGCAGUUAAAAAGCUCGUAGUUGGAUUUCUGGUUUGAUGCCCUGGCCCGCUGCUAUUUUGGUAGUGUGUGCCGGUUGUGCGUCUGCCAUCCUUCUAGGGAACGUUCCUUCUCUUCACUGAGCCGGGUUCGUGAUCUAGAUCGUUUACUUUGAAAAAAUUAGAGUGUUUAAAGCAGGCUUUUGCUAUGAAUACAUUAGCAUGGAAUAAUAAUCUAGGACUUCGGUCAUAUUUUGUUGGUUUCUGUAACUGAAGUAAUGAUUGAUAGGGAUAGUUGGGGGCAUUAGUAUUUAAUUGUCAGAGGUGGAAUUCUCAGAUUUGUUAAAGACUAACUUAUGCGAAAGCAUUUGCCAAGGAUGUUUUCAUCG